GGGCCCGCACAAGCGGCGGAGCAUGCGGAUUAAUUCGAUGCAACGCGAAGAACCUUACCAAGGCUUGACAUAUAGAGGAAAAGUGCAGAAAUGCACUCCCCGCAAGGUCUCUAUACAGGUGGUGCAUGGUUGUCGUCAGCUCGUGUCGUGAGAUGUUGGGUUAAGUCCCGCAACGAGCGCAACCCUCGUCCUAUGUUGCCAGCACGUAAUGGUGGGAACUCAUGGGAUACUGCCGGGGUCAACUCGGAGGAAGGUGGGGAUGACGUCAAAUCAUCAUGCCCCUUAUGUCUUGGGCUUCACGCAUGCUACAAUGGCCGGUACAGAGGGCUGCAAUACCGCAAGGUGGAGCGAAUCCCAAAAAGCCGGUCUCAGUUCGGAUUGAGGUCUGCAACUCGACCUCAUGAAGUCGGAGUCGCUAGUAAUCGUAGAU
RNAcentral lists this ribosomal RNA (430 nucleotides) under uncultured bacterium. RNAcentral's name for it is "bacterial SSU rRNA". It matches the Rfam family "Bacterial small subunit ribosomal RNA", at positions 917 to 1349 of the family's 1533-position model. The record is from RNAcentral.